GGGCCUAUAGCUCAGCGGUAGAGCAGCCGGCUCAUAACUGGUAGCGCGUAGGUUCGAAUCCUACUAGGCCCACCA
RNAcentral lists this transfer RNA (75 nucleotides) under Vulcanimicrobiota bacterium. RNAcentral describes it as "tRNA-Ile". It matches the Rfam family "tRNA". Rfam says of the family: Transfer RNA (tRNA) molecules are approximately 80 nucleotides in length. Their secondary structure includes four short double-helical elements and three loops (D, anti-codon, and T loops). The record is from RNAcentral. Lineage: Bacteria; Bacillati; Vulcanimicrobiota.